UGCAGUCGAACGGGCUCUUCGGAGCAAGUGGCGGACGGGUGAGUAACGCGUGAGAAUGUGCCUUGAGGAUGGGGAUAACAAUAGGAAACUAAUGCUAAGACCCAAUGUGCCUUAAGUGGUGAAAAAUGAAAAUUGCCUGAAGAGGAGCUCGCGUCUGAUUAGCUAGUUGGGGUGGUAAAAGCGCACCAAGGCGACGAUCAGUAGCUGGUCUGAGAGGAUGAGCAGCCACACUGGGACUGAGACACGGCCCAGACUCCUACGGGAGGCAGCAGUGGGGAAUUUUCCGCAAUGGGCGAAAGCCUGACGGAGCAAUACCGCGUGAGGGAGGAAGGCUCUUGGGUUGUAAACCUCAAAACUUAGGGAAGAAAAAAAUGACGGUACCUAAUUUAAGCAUCGGCUAACUCCGUGCCAGCAGCCGCGGUAAUACG
This 428-nucleotide ribosomal RNA is filed under the name uncultured bacterium. Its description in RNAcentral is "bacterial SSU rRNA". It matches the Rfam family "Bacterial small subunit ribosomal RNA", at positions 56 to 527 of the family's 1533-position model. The record is from RNAcentral.